AAACUGGGAUUAGAUACCCCACUAUGUUCAGCCGUAAACCUUAAAUUACAAACUAAUCGCCAGGGAACUACGAGCAAUGCUUAAAACUCAAAGGACUUGACGGUACCCCAUAUCCCCCUAGAGGAGCCUGUCCUAUAAUCGAUAAUCCCCGUUAAACCUCACCACUUUUAGCUUUUUCAAUUUGUAUACCUCCGUCGUCAGCUUACCUCAUGAGCGAAAUCUAGUGAGCUUAACGUCUUCACGUCAAUACGUCAGGUCAAGGUGCAGUAUAUAAAGUGGGAAGAGAUGGGCUACACUCUCUAGUAUAGAAAAUACGAAAAACUACUUAUGAAAUCUAGUUGGAAGGCGGAUUUAGCAGUAAAAAGAAAACAGAGUAUUCUUUUUAAUCUGGCACUGGGGUGUGUACACACCGCCCGUCACCCUCUUCAAAGCUUAAAAAAAGUAAUUAACUAAUUUUUGCGACUACAGAAGAGGCAAGUCGUAACAUGGUAAGUAUACCGGAAGGUGUGCUUGGAAU
RNAcentral lists this ribosomal RNA (517 nucleotides) under Thoropa megatympanum. Its description in RNAcentral is "partial 12S ribosomal RNA". It matches the Rfam family "Bacterial small subunit ribosomal RNA", at positions 769 to 1522 of the family's 1533-position model. Lineage: Eukaryota; Metazoa; Chordata; Amphibia; Anura; Cycloramphidae. The record is from RNAcentral.